GGGGCUGUGGCUCAGUGGUAGAGCACUUGCCUACCACGCAGAGGCAUUGCGUUCAAUUCUCAGCACCA
This 68-nucleotide transfer RNA is filed under the name Marmota monax (woodchuck). It matches the Rfam family "tRNA". Rfam says of the family: Transfer RNA (tRNA) molecules are approximately 80 nucleotides in length. Their secondary structure includes four short double-helical elements and three loops (D, anti-codon, and T loops). Lineage: Eukaryota; Metazoa; Chordata; Mammalia; Rodentia; Sciuridae. The record is from Rfam by way of RNAcentral.